Photinus pyralis (common eastern firefly) is the source of this 596-nucleotide long non-coding RNA. RefSeq lists it as uncharacterized. The record is from RefSeq and is a predicted model, not a curated record. The transcript is spliced from 3 exons. Lineage: Eukaryota; Metazoa; Arthropoda; Insecta; Coleoptera; Lampyridae.
UGAUAUAUAAUGUACUAUUAUCUACUUUGCGUUACUAAUCGACUCAUUAUUAUAUCAAAAACAGUUUAAUUAUGAAGGCUAUUAUUAACGUGUUUUUGGUGAUUUUUAUUUGUCGUAUAUUGGUAACAUCCGUCGCGGCACAGAAUAUGUCAAUGUCAAACGUCAAUGAUUGAGGUUAAAUUGUAUGUUUUGAUAAUGAAUUAUUGAACUUUUGUGUAAGUUUAAUAGUAAAGAAGACUUUCCUAGUUAUAUAAAUCAGUGUAGUGUGUUUAUUACUUAGAAAUAAAGAAUGCAGGUACUUGUGGGAAAGUGGAUUCUUCGGUUACAUGGCACCAAUUCCCAAGUAAAAAAGUAACAAGAAUGGUGGCUGCAAGCAUGUGAACUAUCGGAAUUCGAGGAUGUAAAAAGAAGGCUGUGUUCUCGUCAUUUUAACUGUUAUGAGUGCAUCGAUUUGGAUGCACGCAAGCACGAUGGGGGUCACUUAACACCUAAAAGAUUUCCAACUCUACAAUGUUACUUUCAUUUUAAAAUCAGUAAAUGUUUUUAAUUUAAUUGUGUUUCUUUAAACAUUAGUAAUGUAUCACUUUGUAUUAUAG